CAAGAAUGAAGACCUUUAUGGUGAUCCACUUCUACUUAAUGAAUGGUCCUGGGAUUACAAUGUGAAAAAGACAAACAUAGUCCUUGCCAUGUAGAAUUUAUAGUUUAGUUGGGGAGAUACACAUUGUUCAAGUAAUUAUCACAGAGGAAGAAUAUACGAACCCACCAAAUACAGGGUGAAAUGGGAGUUUGACUAGAAAGAAGGAACUGGCAGGAGAAAAAGGAUAUAAGGAAAAUAAAAUAACACUGACAGAUGGCUUUGGAAUUUGAAGGAGAAAGUUGAUUUCAUAUUUAUAUAUGACGUUGAAAGACUACUGGCAGACAUUGAGAUAGGAACUGACAUAAGCUAAAAAUUGGAAGCUUUUUUUGUCUGUCUUGUUUGCUUUCUUAAAGAAGCUUUCAGAGUAAAUGGAGUGACUAUGGUUUGGGGGAGGUAGGAAGUGAAGUGUAAAGUUGGGGAGUAAAUGGGUAUAACUUGGUGGCAAUUCUACAAGAAGAGUUUGGUUGUGAUCAGGAAAUAAUGAGUAGCUGGAGUUAGGACCCGAAACAAAGGUUCCAGACAGAUGGUGGAAGGCUUUGAAUGAUAGGAUAAGGAACAGAAUUGACUUGAGCAGGUUGUACGGGAUCUGAGUAUCCAAGGGCAGGAUCUGAGCCAGGCAAAUUUUAGGAAAAUAAGAAUUAGAGUGGGAAAGUCUCGAAGCAAGGAAAACAGGUAAGAGACCCUCUGAAUAGUUCAGUUAAUAAGGACCAGGAG
This 753-nucleotide long non-coding RNA is filed under the name Homo sapiens (human). Its description in RNAcentral is "HSALNT0052376". The record is from RNAcentral. Lineage: Eukaryota; Metazoa; Chordata; Mammalia; Primates; Hominidae.